AUUGAACGCUGGCGGCAUGCCUUACACAUGCAAGUCGAACGGCAGCACGGGAGCAAUCCUGGUGGCGAGUGGCGAACGGGUGAGUAAAGUAUCGGAACGUGCCCAGUCGUGGGGGAUAACGUAGCGAAAGUUACGCUAAUACCGCAUACGAUCUAUGGAUGAAAGCGGGGGAUCGCAAGACCUCGCGCGAUUGGAGCGGCCGAUAUCAGAUUAGGUAGUUGGUGGGGUAAAGGCUCACCAAGCCGACGAUCUGUAGCUGGUCUGAGAGGACGACCAGCCAAACUGGGACUGAGACACGGCCCAGACUCCUACGGGAGGCAGCAGUGGGGAGUUUUGGACAAUGGGCGAAAGCCUGAUCCAGCCAUGCCGCGUGCAGGAUGAAGGCCUUCGGGUUGUAAACUGCUUUUGUACGGAACGAAAAGGUUUGGCCUAAUAAGCUGAGCUCAUGACGGUACCGUAAGAAUAAGCACCGGCUAACUACGUGCCAGCAGCCGCCGUAA
RNAcentral lists this ribosomal RNA (500 nucleotides) under uncultured bacterium. RNAcentral describes it as "partial 16S ribosomal RNA". It matches the Rfam family "Bacterial small subunit ribosomal RNA", at positions 30 to 523 of the family's 1533-position model. The record is from RNAcentral.